GAACUCUUUUAGAAGAGUCUACCUAUUCCACUUUGACUUGAUUCUAUCAAAAAAUCUUGUGGGUCGACUGUGGGCAUUGAGACCCAAAUUGAAGAUGCUAUUAAGGAUUGGCUAAAAUAUGCGACAGUCAGAGUAUUUUCAGUGGAGAAAAAAACAAUCUAAUUUCGUCGGUAAUUAAAAAGUAUUAUGAAAUGAAA
Long non-coding RNA from Nilaparvata lugens (brown planthopper), 197 nucleotides. RefSeq lists it as uncharacterized. NCBI's taxonomy places the organism in Eukaryota, Metazoa, Arthropoda, Insecta, Hemiptera, Delphacidae. The record is from RefSeq and is a predicted model, not a curated record. The transcript is spliced from 2 exons.